GAAAUGCGAUAAGUAAUGUGAAUUGCAGAAUUCCGUGAAUCAUCGAAUCUUUUAACGCACAUUGCGCCCUCUGGCAUUCCGGGGGGCAUGCCUGUCCGAGCGUCAUUACGCACCCUCAAGCCCGGCUUGUGUGAUGGGCCCCGGCGUCUCGUUCGCGAGACGGGCCCGAAAGGCAGCGGCGGCGUCGACCCGAUGAGCCCGAGCGUAUGGGGACUUCUGUCACACGUUCGCGGUGCGGACCGGCGCCUGCUUGACUUUUCUGAUUAUCCAGGUUAACCUCGGAUCAGGUAGGGAUACCCGCUGAACUUAAGC
RNAcentral lists this unclassified non-coding RNA (312 nucleotides) under plant metagenome. RNAcentral's name for it is "partial contains 5.8S ribosomal RNA, internal transcribed spacer 2, and large subunit ribosomal RNA". The stretch from base 1 to 105 matches the Rfam family "5.8S ribosomal RNA", at positions 50 to 154 of the family's 154-position model. The record is from RNAcentral.